UUUUAAAUGAAGACCAGUAUGAAUGGCAUCACGAGGGCUUAACUGUCUCCCCUCUCCAGUCAAUGAAAUUGACUUUCCCGUGCAGAGGCGGGAAUAUCUAUAUAAGACGAGAAGACCCUGUGGAGCUUUAGACCUAAAAUAAGCCACGUUUAGUAUACUGUUACACCAGUAAAAACCUAAUGGUUAAAUAUUGAAGUGUC
Molecule: ribosomal RNA, 200 nt
Filed under: Halargyreus johnsonii (slender codling)
Lineage: Eukaryota; Metazoa; Chordata; Actinopteri; Gadiformes; Moridae
Description: partial 16S ribosomal RNA
Source: RNAcentral